Molecule: ribosomal RNA, 425 nt
Filed under: uncultured bacterium
Lineage: Bacteria
Description: bacterial SSU rRNA
Rfam family: Bacterial small subunit ribosomal RNA
Source: RNAcentral
GUAGGGAAUAUUGCACAAUGGGGGAAACCCUGAUGCAGCGACGCCGCGUGAAGGAUGAAGUAUUUCGGUAUGUAAACUUCUAUCAGCAAGGAAGAUAAUGACGGUACUUGACUAAGAAGCCCCGGCUAAAUACGUGCCAGCAGCCGCGGUAAUACGUAUGGGGCAAGCGUUAUCCGGAUUUACUGGGUGUAAAGGGAGCGUAGGCGGCAUGGCAAGUCAGAAGUGAAAGCCUGGGGCUCAACCCCGGAAUUGCUUUUGAAACUGUCAGGCUAGAGUGUCGGAGGGGUAAGCGGAAUUCCUAGUGUAGCGGUGAAAUGCGUAGAUAUUAGGAGGAACACCGGUGGCGAAGGCGGCUUACUGGACGAUUACUGACGCUGAGGCUCGAAAGCGUGGGGAGCAAACAGGAUUAGAAACCCUAGUAGUCC